RNAcentral lists this ribosomal RNA (253 nucleotides) under uncultured bacterium. Its description in RNAcentral is "partial 16S ribosomal RNA". It matches the Rfam family "Bacterial small subunit ribosomal RNA", at positions 524 to 776 of the family's 1533-position model. The record is from RNAcentral.
UACGGAGGGUGCAAACGUUGCUCGGAAUUAUUGGGCGUAAAGCGAGCGUAGGCGGUUUGGAAAGUUGGAUGUGAAAGCCCUUGGCUUAACCAAGGAAGUGCAUUCAAAACUAUCAAACUUGAGUACUGAAGAGGGUGACGGAAUUCCCGGUGUAGAGGUGAAAUUCGUAGAUAUCGGGAGGAACACCAGUGGCGAAGGCGGUCACCUGGGCAGAUACUGACGCUGAGGCUCGAAAGCGUGGGGAGCAAACAGG